AUGGAGCAGCACGGCAAGUCGUACCCGACCGUCGACGAGGAGCUGCGGCGCUUCGAGGUGUACCGGCGGAACGUGGAGCGCAUCGAGGCCACGAACCAACAGGUCGGGCACGGGUACACGCUCGGCGAGAACCAGUUCACCGACCUCACCAGCGAGGAGUUCCUCGCGAGGUACACCGGCCGGUUCGCUCCGCCGGAGAUGAGCCACGAUGGCGACAUGCUGAUCACGACCCGUGCCGGGGAUGUCGCCAAGGGACAGUACCCCGCGCACCGCGGCAACUUGUCCGCGGUGCCUGAGAGCGUGGACUGGAGGGCCAAGGGCGCGGUCACGCCCGUCAGACACCAAGGAGGUUGCUACGCUUCCGGGGCUUUCGCCGCGGUGGCGGCAGUGGAAGGCCUAUACCAAAUAAAAACCGGGAAGCUGGUGCCCCUGUCCGUCCAGGAGCUGGUGGACUGCGAUUCAAAGUCGUUCCAUUGCAGCCCCAGCGGCACACCCGCCGCAGCCUUCACAUAUAUCAAGAUGAACGGCGGCAUCGCGGCGGCCGCAGACUACCCGUACACCGCGCAGGAGGGCAUCUGCAACAGCCAGGCCGAGCAGGUCGCCGUCUCCGUACGCGGCUACCGCGUGCUGCCAUACAACGAGCAGAGCGAGCAGAAGCUCCUCGAGGCGGUGGCGCAGCAGCCCGUCGCCGUCGCCGUCAACCACCUCAGCUUUGAGUUCCAGAGCUACAAGGACGGGGUGUUCUCUGGCCCGUGCGCAUUCGAGGUCGACCGCUUCAACCACCAGAGCGUCACCAUCGUUAGGUACGGGGAGGACGCCGCCACCGGGAAGAAGUACUGGAUCAUAAAGAACUCGUGGGGCCAGUCAUGGGGGAUGGGCGGCUACAUGUUGAUGGAGAGGGGCAUCGCGGAUCCGCGAGGCCUCUGCGGCAUCAACUCUUACCCGGCUUAUCCUACCAUGUGA
Molecule: ribosomal RNA, 963 nt
Filed under: Triticum aestivum (bread wheat)
Lineage: Eukaryota; Viridiplantae; Streptophyta; Magnoliopsida; Poales; Poaceae
Description: partial small subunit ribosomal RNA
Source: RNAcentral